CCUACGGGAGGCAGCAGUGGGGAAUCUUCCGCAAUGGACGAAAGUCUGACGGAGCAACGCCGCGUGAGUGAUGACGGCCUUCGGGUUGUAAAGCUCUGUUAAUCGGGGACGAAAGGCCUUCUUGCGAAUAGUGAGAAGGAUUGACGGUACCGGAAUAGAAAGCCACGGCUAACUACGUGC
RNAcentral lists this ribosomal RNA (180 nucleotides) under uncultured bacterium. RNAcentral's name for it is "partial 16S ribosomal RNA". It matches the Rfam family "Bacterial small subunit ribosomal RNA", at positions 338 to 508 of the family's 1533-position model. The record is from RNAcentral.